GGCGCUAUAGUGUAGUGGUUAUCACUUGGGAUUCUGAUUUCUGGUGAUUGUUCCCAAAACCCAGGUUCGAGCCCUGGUAGCGCCU
This 85-nucleotide transfer RNA is filed under the name Cristinia sonorae. It matches the Rfam family "tRNA". From Rfam's summary of the family: Transfer RNA (tRNA) molecules are approximately 80 nucleotides in length. Their secondary structure includes four short double-helical elements and three loops (D, anti-codon, and T loops). Further hydrogen bonds mediate the characteristic L-shaped molecular structure. tRNAs have two regions of fundamental functional importance: the anti-codon, which is responsible for specific mRNA codon recognition, and the 3' end, to which the tRNAs corresponding amino acid is attached (by aminoacyl-tRNA synthetases). tRNAs cope with the degeneracy of the genetic code in two manners: having more than one tRNA (with a specific anti-codon) for a particular amino acid; and 'wobble' base-pairing, i.e. permitting non-standard base-pairing at the 3rd anti-codon position. Lineage: Eukaryota; Fungi; Basidiomycota; Agaricomycetes; Agaricales; Stephanosporaceae. The record is from Rfam by way of RNAcentral.